UACGUAGGGUGCAAGCGUUAAUCGGAAUUACUGGGCGUAAAGCGUGCGCAGGCGGUUUUGUAAGUCUGUCGUGAAAUCCCCGGGCUUAACCUGGGAAUGGCGAUGGAGACUGCAAGGCUAGAGUUUGGCAGAGGGGGGUAGAAUUCCACGUGUAGCAGUGAAAUGCGUAGAGAUGUGGAGGAAUACCGAUGGCGAAGGCAGCCCCCUGGGCCAAUACUGACGCUCAUGCACGAAAGCGUGGGGAGCAAACAGG
This 253-nucleotide ribosomal RNA is filed under the name uncultured bacterium. RNAcentral's name for it is "partial 16S ribosomal RNA". It matches the Rfam family "Bacterial small subunit ribosomal RNA", at positions 524 to 776 of the family's 1533-position model. The record is from RNAcentral.